Eleginops maclovinus (Patagonian blennie) is the source of this 2476-nucleotide long non-coding RNA. RefSeq lists it as uncharacterized. The record is from RefSeq and is a predicted model, not a curated record. The transcript has 3 exons. Lineage: Eukaryota; Metazoa; Chordata; Actinopteri; Perciformes; Eleginopidae.
AUAAAGCACAAACGCAUUUGAGACUUAAACCCUGGAAGACAUUAAUUAGUAAGAACCAGCCUCCCAUUCCCCACCCGUGCUAAAGAGUCUUAAACGGCUUUUUAUUAAUAAGAUCAUCGUCCAGUAAUAAGUGCAUUAUUCAACACCAAUAAAACUGUAAUUCUGACCCUCCUUUUGGUUUAUUAUUGGCAUUUAAUUAAAAAGCCUAACCUAAUCUUCUACUUUAUUGUUGCAGAAGUAAAAGUUCACCCCAGACUGCAGUUUGUAAAACACGUUAUGAGUAUUGUAUUCCUCGUUAGUGCUCAGAGAAAAUAGCGACUCAAUAAUAACUAAGUCAGCUUCAGGGUGGCUGACUCAGAAACCUGCCCUAAAGGAACCACUCAUCAAAUCUACUUGGUUGGUUUACUUCAAAAGUACUUUAAAUUUAUACUUGUGUGCAGUACUUGGGGAAAUGUCCUUCAUUCAUUCCAUCACUUGGCUCGAGGUGUUACCAGUAAUGCUUUUCAGCUUUCCUGUGUUAUGUAGGGGAAGUUUCUCACUUCACUGCAGCUCCAAACUUCUUCCACCUUUCUGACAUUUUGCAACGGAAGUUUAUUUUUUCUGUCUCACCCAUCUCACUUACCUUUUUCCUUCUCUACUGUAAAUGCUAAAAUGAUAGUGACAGCUGCUUCCACUUGUGUGCUAGAGCGGCACCUGUUUAAUGAGACAUAUGCCAAGUAUUUCAUUGCUUUUUUAGCAUUUCUACCUAAAAAUAUAUAGUGUAGUUACGGUGAGACUGAACAUUCAUUAAGUGUUUUGUUUUUUUAAACUGAUCCCUUGUUUUUCCUUUUCUCUACAGCCAGCUCUUCCUCUCUGGGCUUCACUGAAGAUGUCAGCGGUUCUUUUUCCCGUGCUUCACUCAACAUAUCUUUUGGAGGACAAGAAGAAAAAUGAAGGUUAAAACCAUGUCAUAUUUUGAUAAUGAGGAAGUGACACGCGUCAUCAGGGGUUGAGGUGGUGCAGAGGAGCAGGUUGGUCAGUCACCUCACGGCGCCAGAGGACAGGACGCCACGCCGGCAGACUGAUAAAUCAAACCGAGGCGAAGCGACAGAGCUCUGCUGGUGUCACACCAUGAUAAGAGACAGAGGCCUUGUGAAACCACAGGUCUGGAGUUUUGUCCGUGGAGGCCAGGUGAGCGAGGCCUCCUAUUGGUCGGAGAGGAGCAGCAUGAGCAGCCAGCCGAGGCCCAGCAGCAGAGAGAGGCGGACGGGCUCGGCUCCAUGGUCCAACAGGCCCGGGGAGGGGAGAGUGGAGUCCCCCUCGUCGCCCCACAAUCUGUCGUUCUCGUUAACCUGGGAGAAAACAAACAUGAUGCGUCAUCAUUCAUUUGGGUAAAAUAAAUAAAAGUGAUUUGCCUCCCGAUUCAGCACCAGGAAACAUCCUCUCAUCACAAGCAGCGGGGGAACUACUCCCAGAGGACAGGUUUUAUGAGCAGACAUGUGGGUAUAACGGCUGUAUUUCACGUCUCCACAGUGGAAGAAAGGCGAUGGUGAGGACUUUGCAAUUUUACAGCAGGAGAUGCAUUGCAAACAUGUACAGAAAAAAGUCUUCAAUCAGUCCCAGCAUCUCUGGAUUCCUCCUUUCUCUCCAUCCUUUGCACUAGAACAUCUGAAUCCCAUCAGACGCUGCUGUACUGUUCCUACUUAUUCAUUUCAAUGCACCUGUUUAUGACUUAUCAAUUCUAUUACCAUGUUUUGUUGGAUGUACAGUCCUUCAUUGAGGAAACAUUCAUAUACUUUGGACUUUUAUUCUUUUUGACUUUCAAAAAGACACACCAUCCUACGAUAUGUUUGACUGUUCUAUGACUUUUUCAACAUAUUAUUCUGACUUUUGAAACAUUUAAUAUACCGUACAAAUAUAAUGUUAAAAAUGACGGAUAAAUAAGAUAAUUAGAAUGUGAAGUGUAAACCUAAAGUCCGUCAGUAUCAGUGAAGCUUGCCUUUCCUUUUUAUUUUGCUUCUGUUGAUUUAUCAUACAGCCAUUUAAAUGUGAAAGGAUGUUGGUUAAAGGAAUGAUGAGCCCCCAGGGCAGCUGUCCAGAGAUCAUUCAGUGGUAAAGUGAACUCUGACUGGUGUCUACUCAGUGACACCUCGCUUGAUCCGGAGCCGACACACGACUAUCAGGUGGGGAAACGUCCGUGUUCUUCCCCGCUUUAUCCUCUGUAGCAUAUUAUUACGUCUAAUGCAAUCAGAGGAGGAUCAACAAUACUGCGUGGGACGAGUAGUUCAAAGCACCUGAGGCGAGAAUAUGUAAUUUUGGUUUUUGGCUCUUUUUUCUUCAGCUUUCCCUCUGGAAAUAAGUAAAUGGCCUAGUUACACAUUUAGCCAGUGGAGUUUAUUAAUAUCUGUUGGCGGACUGUCAAUUAUGUUAUCUGCAGCCUCUUUUGGAGGGAAGGGAUCACAUUAGCAGCCAAAUGCAUUGAGUUUAUGUCCUUAGC